Molecule: RNA transcript, 6347 nt
Organism: Dermochelys coriacea (leatherback sea turtle)
Lineage: Eukaryota; Metazoa; Chordata; Testudines; Dermochelyidae
Gene: PTPRC
Gene name: protein tyrosine phosphatase receptor type C
Exons: 35
Source: RefSeq, a predicted model, not a curated record
ACAUGAAAGCAAGCACCUCUUUUCAAAUUGGACAGUUCCUGUCUUGGGGUGAUUACUUAAUCCAGCUCAUCAGGAUUUACUGCAGCAAACACACAUUGCACUCUGUCCUUCAGGAACAUUUAGGGGCCUUCUACACUCACCUGGAACACUAGAGCACAUAGAGUAUAGGUUUCCUCUUAGGAAAGGCGCACAAUUAUGCACAAAUAUCUGCAGGAAAUUGGGCUAAGAAACAGGCAUUGCUCCAAUCAACCAUACUAUAAGGACCCCCAUGGAAGAAAGAAUCAACUACCAGCUCCUGUCACUGAAUGACACCAGCUUAAGAGGAGAAAGGUAGAGGGGUCUACAUACUAGAGGACCCUAGUCAGCUUUUGGGUCCCAUUGCAGUGACUGCAAUGAGGGAAGACAUCUGCAGUCCUUUACCUACUCAGCAAGAGAGACCAAAGUCCUUCAGGACUGUGCUGCCCCCAGUUCUUCUGCAGAAAUGGUUAAAAAUGAUCUAUUUGGUUGAAUUAAGGAAGUUAAACAUUACUGCAGCAGCUUAAGAAAAACCCUCUUGACUUCCUGGAAACUGAAAAGAAAAAAAAGUGGUGUUUUAAAGAAGUAGGUAAGAUUGUCUCUGACAUCACUUAGCUGUAUAGUGAGAUCGCGAGUGGUUAGUCUUUGGAUGACAGACGAAACUGCUUCCUGACUGAUAAGCAGGCAUUGGAAUAGAGAGACACAUGCUGUUUCAUAAGGAUACUCCGGAUUUCCAGAUAUGACCAUGUUUUUGUGGCUUGAACUCUUGGCAUUUGGCUUUGCCCUUCUGGACAACAAUGUUUUUGUCAAAGGAAAAGGAACAACAGAAACUGUAAAUUCUCCCACGCCCACAAGCACAUCGCCUCUACCUGCACGCUCCAUUCCACACUCUCCUACAGGCAACAACGAAGGGCAAACACAGAACUCUACUGCAACUGGCUUCCUUACUACAGGCAGCACAAACCUCAGCACUCAUGCAGACUCAAACUCUUCCUUUGGAUCCAGCAAUCAGCCACACAGCAGCACUGCUGCCCUUACUUCACUCACUCCUGCUACAACCACAAAUAAACCAUCAGAUGCUUUCAAUCCGCAACACUUGCAUACCACCUCACCAUCCGUGAACCAUACUCCAACCAGCACUCAAGCAAACAUUUUUCAGCCUUUCUCAAACACCACUUUGACUACUUCCACUCUCACAACAGAAACUUCUACAGUGACAACUAAAAUACCUUGUGAAACAAUUAAUAUUAAUGUGACGUAUAACUACAGAGACAAAGUCACUGCAAAGUUGAACAUUUCUGAAAAACACAGCAACUACUCUAUUUUCUACAACUCCACUUCUAAAGUGAAAGAAGACCAAACUAUUGAAGGACUUACGGAAUGUGAGACAUAUGAAAUUAUAAUUGGAUAUAAGGAAUGCCCCAAUAUAUCAUCACAUGUAAUUCAUAUCCCACCUAAUGGAGCUAGCUACAAAUUGCACGACAAUGAACACACCAAUACAUCUGUAAAACUGACAUGGAAUAAAACAUCUAAUUGCAAUUUGGUCUACAAUUUUGCCUGUGAAACUGGGAAAGAUAACCAAAACAUUACAGAAUAUCAGGAAACACUGACAAAUUUAUCACCCAACAAGAAUUACACAUGCACUGGGACUAUAUACUAUUUUGAGAACACAGUUGUGCGGAAAACAAUUAAUAUAUCAACGGAUUAUGGAAAACCAGAGAAACCUGAGACACCUGAACUGAAAAACAGUACUUCCACGAAUAUAUCAUUUAGCUGGAAAGCACCCCAAAACACAUCAAAAGGUCCUAUCCAUGGCUAUCGCGUUAAGUGUCCAUCUGAUAUUGACUACACAUUUGUCAAUGAGACCAUUUUUUACUGCUCUAAUUUAAAGCCUUACAGCAACUAUACAGUGUCAAUAGCGGCAUACACAGUAAGCAAAUAUUCAUCAAAGAGAUUUUAUGGGGACACUGUAAUUGAACAAUGGAAGACAAAAGCAGCAGAACCAGAUGAAGUGACUAUUACCGAAGUAAAAUUGAUUUCCAAUAAUGCUGUCCGCAUUAAGUGUAAGGUGAAGUCUGUAAAUGGUGCAAAUCAAAAAUUCACACUGGUAUGGGAGGGAAAGAAUGAAACUGAAAAAAACACAUGUGAGUUUCAAAAAGAAGAUCUUUAUUAUCUGAAACAAUACACCUUUAAGAUUUUUCUGGACAAUGGAGAAUUUAAACGGGCUUCUGACAAACACCACGUAACAACAAAAUACAAUUCUCAAGCCCUGAUUAUAUUCCUGGCGUUCUUGAUUAUUGUGACAUCAAUUGCCUUACUUAUUGUUCUGUAUAAAAUCUAUGAUCUCCACAGAGAGAAAUUAAGCAAUUCAGGUGAAGAUGUGGUGCUUGUUAAGAGGGAUGACGAAAAACAACUGAUGAACGUAGAGCCAAUUCCUGCAGAAAUGUUGUUGGAAACCUACAAGAGAAAGAUUGCUGAUGAAGGAAGACUUUUCCUUGAUGAAUUUCAGAGCAUUCCCAGAGUUUUCUCUAAGUUCUCAAUAAAGGAAGCACGCAAAAACUACAACCAAAACAAAAACCGUUACAUUGACAUUCUCCCUUAUGAUUAUAACCGAGUUGAACUCUCAGAGAUAAACGGAGACCUAGGAUCAGACUAUAUAAAUGCAAGCCAUAUUGACGGUUUCAAAGAACCAAGGAAGUACAUUGCUGCACAAGGUCCCAAGGAUGAGACCACUGAUGAUUUCUGGAGAAUGAUCUGGGAACAGAAGGCAACAAUUAUUGUUAUGGUGACUCGCUGUGAAGAAAAUAAUAGGAACAAAUGUGCCCAAUACUGGCCGACCACAGAAAAUAGCACUGCAACUUUUGGGGACAUUGUUGUGAAGAGCAAUGAAAGUAAAAUAUGUCCUGACUACAUUAUUCAGAAACUGCAUAUUACAAAUAGAAAGGAGAAGACACCUGGGAGAGAUGUGACUCACAUUCAGUUCACUAGCUGGCCAGACCAUGGAGUGCCUGAAGAUCCUCAUCUUCUCCUCAAAUUACGCCGCAGAGUUAAUGCUUUAAGCAACUUUUUUAGUGGCCCAGUAGUGAUUCAUUGCAGUGCUGGUGUGGGACGUACUGGAACCUAUAUUGCAAUCGACGCUAUGCUGGAGGGGUUAGAGGUAGAAGGCAGAGUGGAUGUUUAUGGUUAUGUUGUAAAGCUCCGUCGACAACGAUGCCUCAUGGUUCAAGUAGAGUCACAGUACAUCCUGAUCCAUCAAGCACUGGUGGAAUACAAUCAGUUUGGUGAAACAGAGGUCACUCUCUCUGAACUGCACACCUAUCUUAAUAAUCUGAAGAAAAGAGAUCCUCCCAGUGACCCCUCUCUGCUGGAAGCAGAAUUCCAGAGGCUACCAUCGUACAGGGGAUGGCGGUCACAGAACACUGGCAAUCGACAGGAAAAUAAAAGUAAAAAUCGGAAUUCCAAAAUGAUUCCAUAUGACUUUAACAGAGUACCAAUUAAACAUGAGGAGGAGAAAAGCCAAGAGAGUGAACAUGAUUCAGAGGAAUCAUCUGAUGAGGAUAGUGAUUGUGAGGAAGCAAGCAGAUACAUAAAUGCAUCAUUCAUAACUGGCUACUGGGGUCCAAAAGAAAUGAUUGCAACACAAGGGCCACUACCAGAAACAAUCAAUGACUUCUGGCAAAUGAUCUUUCAAAGAAAAGUCAAAGUAAUUGUUAUGUUGACAGAGCUGAAAGACGGAGAUCAGCAACUCUGUGCACAAUAUUGGGAAGAAGGAAAACAAAGAUACGAAGGCAUAGAAGUUGAAAUGAAAGAUGUCAACCUGUCUUCUAGCUACACCAUACGUGCAUUUGAUGUAACACAUGUGAAGAGGAAAGAAACUCGAAAUGUGUAUAUGUACCAGUACCACAGGUGGAAUGGCUUAGACCUUCCUGAAAACCCCAAAGACUUAGUCACCAUGAUUCUGAACCUCAAACAAAAACUUGCAGCUAAAAGUGUCACUGAGGACAGCAGAUACAGCCGGAGCAUUCCAAUUGUCAUUCACUGCCGUAAUGGAUCUGAACAAACUGGUGUGUUUUGCGCCUUGUUGACUCUCUUGGAAAGUGCAGAAACAGAAGAUGUGAUAGAUGUCUUCCAAGUAGUGAAAUCUCUUCGACGUGCGAGGCCGGGAAUGGUCCCCACUUUUGUAAGUAAAUCCUAUGAGUUAACCAAACAAUGCAAUAGAUUUGCUUAUCUUUAGUCAUGAAUGUUCUAAUAACCACUGGCAUUGUUUCUGCAUAGGAAACAUGUAUUAUCAUUAUCUUAUCCCUAAUUAUUCAUCAGCAGUUGUGAAUUAGCUAUUGGUGAUAAGAAGGAACUAGUCUGCAACCUAUCCACAGCUAUAAUAAUAAGUUUCUUGAGGCUGAAAAGGUCAACAGUACAUGGUAUUUGUAAACCAUUAAUUUUUUAGGCUGGAACUUGGCAGCUGCCGAAGGGAUUUAGGAGCACAUCUGCCACUGAAUUCCAUGGGAGUUGGAUGCCUAACUCCCUUAGGCAGGUUAGAAAAUGCUCUCCUUAUUUUCUGAAGGAGCUGCUUUCCUACUUGCAUGCAAUAUGCAUUCUUCUCUCUGACAAUCCAUCUAAAUCAUCUAGAUUUGCUAACUCUGCUGUGGUUUAUUAGAGAACUGAACAGUAGUCACUACUGUACACUUAAUCCACCUGCUUGAUUCUCUUUUAAACACACUUUUGAUAGUUUGCCAUGUGAAUCAAGAGGGAUGGAUUUUGCAACAUUGUCUUGGGAAUGGGGUGAUUUUAAGUAGUGACAUAGUACCUGAUCUACAAGGAAUUAGGGAUGCCCUCAGUGCUGUCCUGUGGACCAGCAGCCAUGGAGACCACCUUACGCUGAAUGUUUCAAUAAGAUGGAAAGAUUCACAUUGUCAACACUUAAGACAAAAAAAAAAAAAUCAGCCAUCCUGGCUCAGUCACAUGGCAUUUCAUCCACACUAAUCCCUUCUUUUUUGUAUUAGGAACAAUACCAGUUCCUUUAUGAUACUAUUAGCAGCAUCUACCCUGCACAGAAUGGACAAGUAAAGAAAAACAGCAAGCAGGAAGAUACAGUUGAAAUUGACAAUGAAGUAGGAAAAACAGAUCAGGAAGUUAAUUUGAUUACUAUUGAUAUCACCUCACUGGAGUCAGAAGCCAAUAUGAAUAUGGAAGAGCGUGAAGAUUCCAAAUCUGCAGAUGGCACUCAGGGAACAGAAAGUUCUUCAAAUGGACCCAAGACUCCAGUUUUAACUGAGAGUGCAUAGAAAAAUAUAUGAAAAUUGGCUGUACAAAGGUAUCUCAAACAGAAUAAGUAGUCAAAAUUUGAUCUUGAGUUAAUUUUUCAGAGGUACGGUAUGAAAAGAAUACUUGAAAUUUGUGGAUAAUGUAAUGCACUGUGAAAAUUUAAUUUUUGUGUAGAUUUGCAUUUUAUUCCUUUCACAUUAUUUGAAUUAUUUUUGAUCUUUUUACAAAUCUGUAUAUUGUAAUGCUGAUUUUCAUUAUGGUCUGGUAUUCCGGAGUAGAAAGAAAAGUCAUGCUACCUUUUUUCAAUCUUAUUUUUUGUUAUUGGAAAGUAAGUAGCCAGGACCAGAAUCUCUAAUAAUGUACAGUCAUAAAUAUAAAGUUAGAAGUAUGGCAAAUAUGAGUUUUCUUGUAACUAAUUAUUGUGUUACUAUCUUUAAUUGACUUAGAGGGUAAGGAAUAUGCAAUAUUUCAGAAAUGCAAUUUCUAUUGACUUUAGUUAGGGUUGUACUUGCUUUGCACAUGCUUUGCAGAACAGUAAAGCCAUAUCUGGGCCAUAUCUUACAGCUCCAUUGAAGUCUAUGGGGAUUUACACCAACUAAGUAACUGGUUCCACACAUCCUUACCUAUCUAGGACUGUAAGCUUUGCAUUUUUCUAACUGGCCUCAAGAUGUCCUCCUUGCUCCACAUAAAUCCAUCUGAAGCUUCAAUAUUUGAGACUGAAGAAGAAAGUCCAGAACUUGGAGUAUGACUGAUUGGAGAAACUCUGAUUGUUAAUUGAAUUGACAUUUGGCAACUUGAGAUCCCAUGUGUUACCACAACUGCUUCUUGUGCUAUUUUUUUCUAAUUUAAAGAGAACGCUUCUGCAAAAGUGUCGUACCUAUUAUGUAUAUCCAACAUUCCAAAAUACUGUGCUACUAAUAGUACAUGCUAUUAGCACAUUGUUGAUUUUAUUUAGUAGUUUCAUCAUAUGCUGAUGAUUUGUAUGUUACAGUUUGGAUUAUUUUACUAUUGCCUUAGUGGAUUUCAGCCUAAUAUUUUAAAGCCAAAUAAAAAGGACAAUUAAUAAAUUG